UGUGGGGGGAUUAGUGGCGAACGGGUGAGUAACACGUGAGUAACCUGCCCUUAACUCUGGGAUAAGCCUGGGAAACUGGGUCUAAUACCGGAUAUGACUCCUCAUCGCAUGGUGGGGGGUGGAAAGCUUUAUUGUGGUUUUGGAUGGACUCGCGGCCUAUCAGCUUGUUGGUGAGGUAAUGGCUCACCAAGGCGACGACGGGUAGCCGGCCUGAGAGGGUGACCGGCCACACUGGGACUGAGACACGGCCCAGACUCCUACGGGAGGCAGCAGUGGGGAAUAUUGCACAAUGGGCGCAAGCCUGAUGCAGCGACGCCGCGUGAGGGAUGACGGCCUUCGGGUUGUAAACCUCUUUCAGUAGGGAAGAAGCGAAAGUGACGGUACCUGCAGAAGAAGCGCCGGCUAACUACGUGCCAGCAGCCGCGGUAAUACGUAGGGCGCAAGCGUUAUCCGGAAUUAUUGGGCGUAAAGAGCUCGUAGGCGGUUUGUCGCGUCUGCCGUGAAAGUCCGGGGCUCAACUCCGGAUCUGCGGUGGGUACGGGCAGACUAGAGUGAUGUAGGGGAGACUGGAAUUCCUGGUGUAGCGGUGAAAUGCGCAGAUAUCAGGAGGAACACCGAUGGCGAAGGCAGGUCUCUGGGCAUUAACUGACGCUGAGGAGCGAAAGCAUGGGGAGCGAACAGGAUUAGAUACCCUGGUAGUCCAUGCCGUAAACGUUGGGCACUAGGUGUGGGGGACAUUCCACGUUUUCCGCGCCGUAGCUAACGCAUUAAGUGCCCCGCCUGGGGAGUACGGCCGCAAG
This 800-nucleotide ribosomal RNA is filed under the name Arthrobacter sp. RNAcentral's name for it is "bacterial SSU rRNA". It matches the Rfam family "Bacterial small subunit ribosomal RNA", at positions 82 to 892 of the family's 1533-position model. Lineage: Bacteria; Bacillati; Actinomycetota; Actinomycetes; Micrococcales; Micrococcaceae. The record is from RNAcentral.